Molecule: transfer RNA, 69 nt
Filed under: Ictidomys tridecemlineatus (thirteen-lined ground squirrel)
Lineage: Eukaryota; Metazoa; Chordata; Mammalia; Rodentia; Sciuridae
Description: Spermophilus tridecemlineatus (thirteen-lined ground squirrel) tRNA
Source: Rfam by way of RNAcentral
GGGGUUGUUUCUCAGGGAUAGAGAGCUCGCCUUGCAUGUGAGAGGCCCUGAGUUCGAUUCUUAGCACCA